This 250-nucleotide ribosomal RNA is filed under the name uncultured bacterium. RNAcentral's name for it is "partial 16S ribosomal RNA". It matches the Rfam family "Bacterial small subunit ribosomal RNA", at positions 524 to 776 of the family's 1533-position model. The record is from RNAcentral.
UACGUAGGGUGCAAGCGUUAAUCGGAAUUACUGGGCGUAAAGCGUGCGCAGGCGGCUUUGCAAGACAGAUGUGAAAUCCCCGGGCUAACCUGGGAACUGCAUUUGUGACUGCAUGGCUGGAGUGCGGCAGAGGGGAUGGAAUCCGCGUGUAGCAGUGAAAUGCGUAGAUAUGCGGAGGAACACCGGAUGGCGAAGGCAAUCCCUGGGCCUGCACUGACGCUGAGGAGCGAAAGCGUGGGGAGCGAACAGG